AUGUCCUCAUCCACCCCCAAUGCCCUCAAUACAUAUGAAGGCUCCAAACUCGCGCUAGUGCAGGCACUCCCACUUGACACUGCUACAUCCUUCAAUCCCAUCAACAAGCUCUCCCCUUCCACAUAAGCAAAGGAAAGAUUCAAAUUCCCUGCGUAUCGCCUCUCUAUGCUCCCAUUGACCACCACUCCAUCAAGUUUAGCUUUAAUUCCUUUCAACAACCUCUCCUGCAAAGCCCUAAUUCUCUUAUCAUCAUACUUCAUCUCCUUCUUCGCAAGUUCACAAGCAGCACCCAUUCCCACAACCAAAGGAGUCGGCACCGUCCCACUUCGUAUCCCUCUCUC
This 341-nucleotide unclassified non-coding RNA is filed under the name Hevea brasiliensis (rubber tree). Lineage: Eukaryota; Viridiplantae; Streptophyta; Magnoliopsida; Malpighiales; Euphorbiaceae. The record is from RNAcentral.